GAUGAACGCUGGCGGCGUGCCUAAUACAUGCAAGUCGAGCGAACAGACGAGGAGCUUGCUCCUCUGACGUUAGCGGCGGACGGGUGAGUAACACGUGGAUAACCUACCUAUAAGACUGGGAUAACUUCGGGAAACCGGAGCUAAUACCGGAUAACAUGUUGAACCGCAUGGUUCAACAGUGAAAGACGGUCUUGCUGUCACUUAUAGAUGGAUCCGCGCCGCAAUAGCUAGUUGGUAAGGUAACGGCUUACCAAGGCAACGAUGCGUAGCCGACCUGAGAGGGUGAUCGGCCACACUGGAACUGAGACACGGUCCAGACUCCUACGGGAGGCAGCAGUAGGGAAUCUUCCGCAAUGGGCGAAAGCCUGACGGAGCAACGCCGCGUGAGUGAAGAAGGUCUUCGGAUCGUAAAACUCUGUUAUUAGGGAAGAACAAAUGUGUAAGUAACUAUGCACGUCUUGACGGUACCUAAUCAGAAAGCCACGGCUAACUACGUG
This 497-nucleotide ribosomal RNA is filed under the name uncultured bacterium. RNAcentral's name for it is "partial 16S ribosomal RNA". It matches the Rfam family "Bacterial small subunit ribosomal RNA", at positions 28 to 507 of the family's 1533-position model. The record is from RNAcentral.